Molecule: ribosomal RNA, 270 nt
Filed under: uncultured archaeon
Lineage: Archaea
Description: partial 16S ribosomal RNA
Rfam family: Archaeal small subunit ribosomal RNA
Source: RNAcentral
CAGCACCUCAAGUGGUUAGGAUGAUUAUUGGGCCUAAAGCAUCCGUAGCCGGCUCUGUAAGUUUUCGGUUAAAUCUGUAUGCUCAACAUACAGGCUGCCGGGAAUACUGCAGAGCUAGGGAGUGGGAGAGGUAGACGGUACUCGGUAGGAAGGGGUAAAAUCCUUCGAUCUAUUGAUGACCACCUGUGGCGAAGGCGGUCUACCAGAACACGUCCGACGGUGAGGGAUGAAAGCUGGGGGAGCAAAACGGAUUAGAUACCCGAGUAGUCC